RNAcentral lists this ribosomal RNA (253 nucleotides) under uncultured bacterium. RNAcentral's name for it is "partial 16S ribosomal RNA". It matches the Rfam family "Bacterial small subunit ribosomal RNA", at positions 524 to 776 of the family's 1533-position model. The record is from RNAcentral.
CACGGGGGGAGCAAGCGUGGUUCGGAAUCACUGGGCGUAAAGGGCGUGUAGGCGGUCAGGUAAGUGGGAUGUGAAAGCCCUCGGCUCACCCGAGGAUCUGCAUCUCAAACUGCCUGGCUUGAGUAUGGGAGAGGAUGGGGGAAUUCCUGGUGUAGCGGUGAAAUGCGUAGAUAUCAGGAGGAACACCGGUGGCGAAGGCGCUCAUCUGGCCCAAUACUGACGCUGAGGCGCGAAAGCUAGGGGAGCAAACGGG